Molecule: long non-coding RNA, 2821 nt
Organism: Cornus florida
Lineage: Eukaryota; Viridiplantae; Streptophyta; Magnoliopsida; Cornales; Cornaceae
Exons: 2
Source: RefSeq, a predicted model, not a curated record
CAAAAGAGAUUUAUUGAAAAAAUGCUACAGAUGGAAGUUUUUGAUAAAAAAAAUUAGACGAGAAAUUUUACUAAAAAAGUUAUAAGCUGAAGAGAGUGUUUUUGUAAUUUGUCCUUUUUUUAAUUAGAUUUUUUAUUUAUAAAUUUGUCUAGUAAUAAAUAUGAAUCUCAAUUUGAACUAAAAACGAAAAAAGAAAAAGAAAAUGUAUUAAGUUGAUUAGUCAUACCAUCCAUUGAAAAUAAUAUAUUAAGAAAAAAAAUUGAAUUCAUGCCCUAACAAUCCUCACACACCCCUAUAUAUAGAAUACCCUAUCCUUUCAAAACCCUGCGCCGCGUGCGCCGUGGUCGAGUCAUUACUCCACCAGCACGCCCCAGACUAGACGCGACGGUUCUUCUCUUUCACUUUCCCAACCCUAAUUUGCAAAAACCUUCGGCUUCCACGAGUCACUAGCUCAGACAUCCCAGUCUCCGAAGGAUGGAUCCAUAUCGGAACUCGCAGGCCCUAGUCAAUGAAAAGCUUAAAAGUGCUGAGAUCGAUGGAUCUCAUUUACCUGUCACUUCAUCAUCAUCCAAACUACUUCUUCCAUUGUAUCACAAUAAAAAAUUUCCGAAGUUUGAAAGUUUGGCAUUCAAACUAGCCAUGUUAGAUCCUUUAACUGCUCGGAUUCAAAUUUUCACAAGGUCUUGAGAUUCCUUAGAGAUGAUGAUGGCCACGGGGUGGGAAUCAUCAGGAUAUACGGAAUGGCGGGAGUAGGAAAGACAACCAUCUUGAAGAAACUCGACAAUGAACUUGCAAAUCAGUCAUAUGGCAAAUUUGAUGAGGUGAUAUGGGUUGUGUUGUCCAAAGGUCAAAAUAGUGUGGAGAGCAUUCAAGAUAAAAUUGAAAAAAAGCUAAGUUUUCAAGUGGACAAAUGGAGGGAUUCAAGCCAAGAUGAGAACAAACAAGAAAUCUUUAGAAUUUUUAAAAUGAAGAUAUUUGUGUUACUUUUGGAUGACAUAAGGAAGCAGAUUAAUCCUCCUGAAGUGGGAAUUCCACUUCAAUACAAUCAAAACAAGGCCAAGCUAGUAUUCACCACUCGUUCUAAGAAAAUGUGUCGUCUUAUGGAAGCUAAGAUUAAAGCAGAAUGUUUGGCACGGCAGGAAGCUUGGGAUUUGCUAAAGAUAGGUGGGAGAAGAGACCCUAUCACAGAAGAUGUUUGCAAAGAGUACGGCGGUUUUCAAUCGGUGCUGGUUACAAUUGGAUUAGUUCCAAUGGAAAACAAAUAAUAUUUUGUACACAGGAGCAAUGAGCAAGAGGACAUUCAACUUUUGGAGACGAAGCUCUUUGGAAUGGUUCACACUUUAUACUACCAUUUAAAACAUAUUACAUAUAUAUUCUUAAUUACUUAUUUAUCUAUGUGUAUAUCUUUGUGUGUGUAAGAGUAAAAACUUUCUUUAGCAUAUUCUUCUUUGGUUAUUCUAAACAUCUCUGUUUUAUACUACAGGCCCUAGUCAAUGAUGAAAAGCUUCAAAGUGCAAAAGCUUCAUAGUGUUGAGAUUGAUGAGUACAUGUACCAUGAAUCUCGUUUAGCCAACACUUCUUCAUCAUCUUUUAUUACUUCUUCCAUUGCAUUACGAUAAAAAAAAUUCAGAAGUUUGAAGGUUUGACACGCGAACUAGCCAUGUUAGAUCCUUCAGCUGUGACCAAUUGUAACUACUGCCAAUGGAAAACCGUCACAUUCUUUGCAAACAUCUUCUGCGAGCUUCAGUAGUAGAGGAUCUAAAUUGAGGGUCUCUUCUCCAACCUAUCUUUAAACAAAUCCCAGGCUUCCUGUCAUGCCAAACAUUUUGUUUUAAUCUUCUUUUUGCUUCCAUAGGACCACACACUUCCUUGGAUCGGGUGGUGAAUACUACCUUGGUCUUGUUUUGAUUGUUUGAAAAUGGAAUUCCCAUUUCAAGAAGAUCAAUCCGCUUCCAUAUGUCAUCCAAAAGUAAUACAAAUCUCUUCAUUUUCAAAAGCCUUGUUUUUUCUCAUCUUGGCUUUGAUCCCUCCAUUUGUCCUCUGAAAACCUAGUUUUUUUCCAAUUUUAUCUUGAAUGCUCUCCACACUGUUUUGACCUUUAGACACCACAACCCAUAUCACCUCAUCAAAUUUGCCACGUGAUUGAUUUGCAAGCUCAUUGUUGAGUUUCUUCAAGAAGGUUGUCUUUCCUACUCCCGCCAUUCCGUAUAUCCCGAUGAUUCCCACCCCAUGGCCAUCAUCAUCUCUAAGGAAGCUCAAGACCACCUGAAAAUUUGAAGGCUAGUUUGCGCGCCAAACUUUCGAACUUUGUAAAUUUCUGAUUGUGAUGCAAUGGAAGAAGUAAUAAAAGAUGCGGAUUGCAGUACUGAUGAUCAUAUUGGUAGGGAAGGAAGCAUAUUGGUAGGGAAGGAAGUUUUGAGUGUAUUCGCAAAGCUACAUAGAUUCUGCUUCACCUACGAAAGCUAAAGAGCACCUACGGUCAUCCAUUGCCCUUACCUACCUUCUAUGAUUGAAGUCGAACUAAAUUACUGUCUGAAGCUUAACAAACUUCCUUUUCACUCAAUCACUCCAAUAGCAGUGUUUGGUGGCUGUUGCCUAUAAUUUUCUACCAAAAAAUGCUCCAUUGAAACUGUUGUGUAGUUUCUUCAAUCUUAAAUUUUCGCCUACUUAUGUCUGAUGGUUGGAUGUUUUGUACAAACAGUUUCCGUAAUCUUAAAUUCUUUCAUCCUGGCUGUAUGUCUUGUGCUUAGAUGUUUGUACAAACAGUACAAUGUUGUAAAUGUAUUCCUUUUAUUAAUGCUCUAUGUUCCAUUUGCUACUA